Non-coding RNA from Pelobates cultripes (western spadefoot toad), 222 nucleotides. Lineage: Eukaryota; Metazoa; Chordata; Amphibia; Anura; Pelobatidae. The record is from the annotation of a GenBank genome assembly.
UCUUGGAAUUUUCCAAAAAGUGUCUGGUGGCUUGACAGCCUCAUUCAUGUUCAAUAGUGUACAGUGAGCUCACAUCUGCAGUCACUAAAAAGUAAUCCUGUUCCCACUGUACACGAUUCAGAACCUGGAGGAUGUCAAUAUUAUCCCUCAGGUAGCCUGGACAAUUGUGGACAAUUUGUUGGAGGUUCCGAUCAAUAUAUUGUGACAAUCGGCUCAAGGUGG